UGGGGCAUGGCCAAGCGGUAAGGCACCCGGUUUUGAUCCGGUGAUCCCAGGUUCGAAUCCUGGUGCCCCAGCCA
This 74-nucleotide transfer RNA is filed under the name Alphaproteobacteria bacterium. RNAcentral's name for it is "tRNA-Gln". It matches the Rfam family "tRNA". From Rfam's summary of the family: Transfer RNA (tRNA) molecules are approximately 80 nucleotides in length. Their secondary structure includes four short double-helical elements and three loops (D, anti-codon, and T loops). Further hydrogen bonds mediate the characteristic L-shaped molecular structure. tRNAs have two regions of fundamental functional importance: the anti-codon, which is responsible for specific mRNA codon recognition, and the 3' end, to which the tRNAs corresponding amino acid is attached (by aminoacyl-tRNA synthetases). tRNAs cope with the degeneracy of the genetic code in two manners: having more than one tRNA (with a specific anti-codon) for a particular amino acid; and 'wobble' base-pairing, i.e. permitting non-standard base-pairing at the 3rd anti-codon position. Lineage: Bacteria; Pseudomonadati; Pseudomonadota; Alphaproteobacteria. The record is from RNAcentral.